Dreissena polymorpha is the source of this 2535-nucleotide long non-coding RNA. RefSeq lists it as uncharacterized. The transcript is spliced from 3 exons. Lineage: Eukaryota; Metazoa; Mollusca; Bivalvia; Myida; Dreissenidae. The record is from RefSeq and is a predicted model, not a curated record.
ACUUACAUUGCUGUGACUGUUCCACAGUGGGUCAAAAAAGAGACGAAUACAGGUUUCAAGAAGAAAAUUGGCUGUUGAAAACCUGCACAAAAUAUGAGGUAAGUAAACUAUUCUUUUGGUUUGUUUUGUGCUUUGUUAUGCUUGACUAUUUUUCAGAUUGGAAUGGUGGGUCGUUACAGAGCAGACUUUUGGACAACUGAGAAGUUGAGAAACAGAGAAUGAUUCAAUAUCAGCUAGGUAAGUCUUGAUUAUUCUGCAUUGUAAAAUGUGUUUCUUUUUCAUUUCAGUAUGGCUGUGGUAAGUACACUAACUUUCUAUAAUUUCAUAUUGAACUGUUUUGAUGACUUGUAUUAUGCAUUGCUAAAUGUUUUUUUCAUUUCAGUAUCCUGUGGUAAGUACACUAACUUUCUAUAAUUUCAUAUUGAACUGUUUUGAUGAUUUGUAUACUGCUAUGCAUUGCUAAAUGUUUUUUUCAUUUCAGUAUAGCUGUGGUAAGUACACUAACUUUCUUUAAUUUUCAUAUUGAACUGUUUUGAUGACUUGUAUUCUGCUAUACAAAAUGUGCUUUUUUCAAUUUCAGGUCAGCAAUGGUAAGUUUAUUGUGUUUCUUUAUGUAUAAUUUUGUAUACAUAUUGUUUUUUUCAUCAUAGCAUGUUUUUUAUAUUUAUGCUUUGUGUAAGUAAAAUGUUCAUAAAUCAUUCUUAUCUUUAAACUAAAAAUGUAUUUUGAUAUGCAAAAUGUCUGUAUGAUUUCAGUUGCCAGAGGUGAGUACCAUUACAGUUGAAAAGUUAGUUUUGUUUAGUUAAAGUUUUGGUUCACAGUUCUGUUUAUUAUUUGGCAAAAUUUACAUGUAUGCAUUGAGUCUUGAUUUCAGCUCGAUUGUGGACUGAAGAAGAUUGCCAGCAGAGGGAUUGGAUACAAAAUACAAAGUAAGUACUGAGUUUCUUACUAAAAGUUUUGAGUUGUAUUCAUUGUGUGUUAAUAUGCUAUGAUUGCUAUGAACAUGACUUUUGUAUUUCAGCGAAGACAACAUAGGUAAGUAAAAUUGUUAUCUGUUUCAAGUUUACUGUUAUAGUUCAAUAUUGUGUUUAUAAAUUGUAAGUUGUACAAACACAUUCAAAAGUUUCUGAUCAUGCUUUCAAUUUCAUUUCAGCCCUACUACAAGACGAGUGUUUUCUACUACUAGACGUGUCAGGUUUACUUCCAGGCGAGCAGUGACAACAAGGCGCCUUUGUGGAAACAGCAAAACAAACAACUCUACUGCAAGACGAGCAGUAACAGCAAGGCGCCUGAACAUGCAACACAAUAAAAAAAAUGCCAAUAUCCAAACCUUGAUGUGGACACCGAGUAGUCAAUACAUACGUGUGGCGUAUAGCUGCGACAAAACCGUGGGUCCAUCGCACCGAUAACUUGAACAUUGGCCCGUGUAUGGACAUCAGUGCAACUUUGUGAAUCCAUGUAACUUUGUGAAUCCAUGUAACAUUGCGAAUGUGUGUCGAUCGAAAAAUGUGUACAUUCUGCACUGAAACGAACUCGGUGUUGCAAGUGGCAAGUGUUGACAGUGUGUAUGUUUAUGUUUAUGUUUUUACAUGAAAAAUAAAGGAGAUUGUUGUUUUAUUGUGCUGGCCAGCAAUAUUGAUGUAUUGAUGUAUGUGUUUGUGUUUAAACUAUGCAAUACCAAAAUCAAACAAAAAAUAAACAUUAACAGUCAUUAACUGUGUUUGGGCGGCCGAGGGGUUUAAGACUCCACAAGUGUGAAGCGCACUGAUAGCACUUGGGGGUAAACACCUCGGUAUUUCGGUGCUAAAAUGUUUUCACGGUGCUUAUUUUGACGCACUGUUAGAACUACCAACCAGUAAAUGAUUGCUUGAUUUAUAAAACAAAUAUUCAGUCUCUACUUUGGCACAAGAGACUCUAAGUAUCAAAUACCAACAAUUUAGACGCAGACAAUCACAUGGUGGUACACCAGUCCGAAUAUACUCAUUGCUCUAGCCAGGAUUGCAAAUUACUUGUGUUGACUAGCAAGGCUCCCUAGUAACGGAGCAGUGUUACUGGCGUUUUUUGGGUCGAUAGUGCUUAGGUGAGGUUUUGCUCGAAUCGGGAGCGGGUCACUCGCUUGGGCGAGUUAGUUUUCGCUCGUAGUUUCCAAUCUGGCUAGAUCAAUGUAAGGUUGUUUUGACUGCUAUUUGGCAAGCAGAAAGACAACAGCGGUUAAUUGACUGAGUAUGGGCGACCGAGGUAUGUAGGUGUCAAUAGACCGACUCCACAAGUUGCGAAGCGAACCGAUAGCACUUGAGGGGAAACGCCUCGGUUUUCGGUUCUAACAUGUGUUAUCCAUGCUGUCGUUAUACUCUGGCAAGGCUCCUCAAUCUAUCGCGAGGGACACUCAUUAUUGCCCGCAAGCUUUAGAACCUGACGUGGGUCGAUGCGUAUGCGAGUCCGAGGACGCGAUGGCAUUUGAUAAGGCUACCAACCGGUUGAUAACACGCAUUGUUCAAAUUGUUAGGUUUAAGUCUGCUAGGGCUGGGGUGGGAA